Molecule: non-coding RNA, 84 nt
Organism: Lentinula aciculospora
Lineage: Eukaryota; Fungi; Basidiomycota; Agaricomycetes; Agaricales; Omphalotaceae
Source: the annotation of a GenBank genome assembly
UGCCCCAUGGCUGAGUUGGUUACAGCGUCCGACUGUUAAGAUUGAACUAUCGGAAGGUCGAGAGUUCGAGCCUCUCUGGGGCAG